CAGCAGCCACGGUAAUACCGAGGGUGCGAGCGUUAAUCGGAUUUACUGGGCGUAAAGCGUGCGUAGGCGGCUUCUUAAGUCGGAUGUGAAAUCCCUGAGCUUAACUUAGGAAUUGCAUUCGAUACUGGGAAGCUAGAGUAUGGGAGAGGAUGGUAGAAUUCCAGGUGUAGCGGUGAAAUGCGUAGAGAUCUGGAGGAAUACCGAUGGCGAAGGCAGCCAUCUGGCCUAAUACUGACGCUGAGGUACGAAAGCAUGGGGAGCAAACAGGAUUAGAUACCCCGGUAGUCCCUGUCUCUUAUAC
Molecule: ribosomal RNA, 301 nt
Filed under: uncultured bacterium
Lineage: Bacteria
Description: partial 16S ribosomal RNA
Rfam family: Bacterial small subunit ribosomal RNA
Source: RNAcentral